AUUGAACGCUGGCGGCAGGCCUAACACAUGCAAGUCGAGCGGAUGAAGGAAGCUUGCGCCUGGAUGCAGCGGCGGACGGGAGAGUAAUGCACAGGUGUCUGCCUGAUAGAGGGGGAUAACGUCCGGAAACGGGCGCGAAUACCGCAUCCGUCAUUAGGGAGAACGUGGGGGAUCUUCGGACAUAACCGUCUCAGCUGUGCCUACGUCGGAUUAGCUAGUUGGUGUGGUAAAGGCGUACCAAGGCGACGAUCCUUAACCGGCCUGAGAGGAUGAUCAGUCACACUGGAACUGAGACACGGUCCAGACUCCUACGGGAGGCAGCAGUAGGGAAUAUUGGACAAUGGGCGAAAGCCUGAUCCAGCCACGCCGCGUGUGUGAAGAAGGUCUUCGGAUCGUAAAGCACUUUUAGUAGGGAGGAAGAGCAGUAUAUUAAUCCCUGGCUGUUUUGACGUUACCAACAGAAUAAGCACCGGCUAACUACGUG
RNAcentral lists this ribosomal RNA (484 nucleotides) under uncultured bacterium. RNAcentral describes it as "partial 16S ribosomal RNA". It matches the Rfam family "Bacterial small subunit ribosomal RNA", at positions 30 to 507 of the family's 1533-position model. The record is from RNAcentral.